GAAUCAACGCUGGCGGCGUGCCUCAGACAUGCAAGUCGAACGCGAAAGUCCCCUUCGGGGGACAAGUAGAGUGGCGCACGGGUGAGUAACACGUAGGUAAUCCACCUUCGGAUGGGGAAUAACAACCGGAAACGGUUGCUAAUACCGCAUAAUGCAGCGGCACCUAAUGGUGACAGUUGUUAAAGCGGGGGAUCGAAAGACCUCGCGUCUGAAGAGGAGCCUGCGGCGGAUUAGCAGUUGGUAAGGUAACGGCUUACCAAGGCGACGAUCCGUAGCCGGCCUGAGAGGGCGGUCGGCCACACU
Molecule: ribosomal RNA, 303 nt
Filed under: uncultured bacterium
Lineage: Bacteria
Description: bacterial SSU rRNA
Rfam family: Bacterial small subunit ribosomal RNA
Source: RNAcentral